Molecule: ribosomal RNA, 330 nt
Filed under: Pheidole subarmata
Lineage: Eukaryota; Metazoa; Arthropoda; Insecta; Hymenoptera; Formicidae
Description: partial small subunit ribosomal RNA
Source: RNAcentral
UUAUAAAUAAAAAUUAAUUCAUAAAAAAUUAAAUGUAUAAAUCAUUAAAUUUAAAUAAUUUGGCGGUAUUUUAAAUAGUUAGAGGAAUUUGUUAAAUAAAUGAUAAUCCCCGAUUGGAGUGUCCUAAUAAAAAUUUUUAUGUAUUGUUGUAAAAAAAUUAUUUUAUAAGAAUUUAUAAUUAAAAUAUUUAAUUUAAUUGGAAUAUAAAUCAAAAUGUAGAAUUAUUAGGUUAUAAUGAAUUACAAUUUAUUAAAAUAUUAACGUUAUUUUUUUAAUUAAAAUAAUUAAAUAGGAUUUAAAAGUAAAUUUAAAAAAAUAUUUAAAUUGAAA